CGUCACGUGGCAAUUCUGUGUGUCAAAAAUUCAUUAAUCAAAGGAAUCAUUUGAGUUUAUUCUACUCUCACGUUUGUCUGUACUUGAAGAUUCAACUUUUUUCAUUAACUUCUCAUUGACAUUACUCUCUAUCCAUACCACACAAAUAAUUAAACCUAAUUCAAUAAUGAUGAAUUGGAUUUUACUGCACCGAACUACCGAUACUCUAGGCUACUCUGGGCGGAGAAUAUACGUAUCACCAU
This 242-nucleotide long non-coding RNA is filed under the name Mytilus galloprovincialis (Mediterranean mussel). Lineage: Eukaryota; Metazoa; Mollusca; Bivalvia; Mytilida; Mytilidae. The record is from RNAcentral.